This 62-nucleotide transfer RNA is filed under the name Eisenia nordenskioldi nordenskioldi. RNAcentral's name for it is "tRNA-Ala". The record is from RNAcentral. Lineage: Eukaryota; Metazoa; Annelida; Clitellata; Crassiclitellata; Lumbricidae.
UGCAACUUAGUUUAUCUAGAACUAUCAACUUGCACUUGAUGAGAGAAGUUUUUCAGUAGCAG